RNAcentral lists this ribosomal RNA (508 nucleotides) under uncultured bacterium. Its description in RNAcentral is "partial 16S ribosomal RNA". It matches the Rfam family "Bacterial small subunit ribosomal RNA", at positions 28 to 523 of the family's 1533-position model. The record is from RNAcentral.
GAUGAACGCUAGCUACAGGCUUAACACAUGCAAGUCGAGGGGAAACGAUAGAGAAGGCUUGCUUUUUCUAGGCGUCGACCGGCGCACGGGUGAGUAACGCGUAUCCAACCUGCCCAUCACUUGGGGAUAACCUUGCGAAAGUAAGACUAAUACCCAAUGACGCCUCUAGAAGACAUCUGAAAGAGAUUAAAGAUUUAUCGGUGAUGGAUGGGGAUGCGUCUGAUUAGCUUGUUGGCGGGGUAACGGCACACCAAGGCGACGAUCAGUAGGGGUUAUGAGAGGAAGGUCCCCCACAUUGGAACUGAGACACGGUCCAAACUCCUACGGGAGGCAGCAGUGAGGAAUAUUGGUCAAUGGGCGAGAGCCUGAACCAGCCAAGUAGCGUGCAGGAUGACGGCCCUAUGGGUUGUAAACUGCUUUUAUAAGGGAAUAAAGUGAGUCUCGUGAGACUUUUUGCAUGUACCUUAUGAAUAAGGACCGGCUAAUUCCGUGCCAGCCGCCGCAGUAA